RNAcentral lists this long non-coding RNA (260 nucleotides) under Elaeis guineensis (African oil palm). Its description in RNAcentral is "long non-coding RNA (EGUI_LNC075432)". The record is from RNAcentral. Lineage: Eukaryota; Viridiplantae; Streptophyta; Magnoliopsida; Arecales; Arecaceae.
AGAAAGGUACUUGAUAUUCUUAUAAAAGAUUAAGAGAAAGUAUUUCUUGAAGGAGAUUGGGAACAUAGAAAUGAACCCAAAACCUACAACGACGUGAUAUGAGGAAUCAUGUAGUUACAUGAAGAUCAGUGGGAGGGUCCCACGCUGACAUCGGUUAUGAUGUGGUUACAUAUAGAAUUAUCUUAUCAAAGACCUAGGUCAAACAUUCUGAAAAUAAAGGUCUAUAGAGAUAGAUCUUGAAAGAAUAUUUAUUUUUCAUA